RNAcentral lists this ribosomal RNA (497 nucleotides) under uncultured bacterium. RNAcentral describes it as "partial 16S ribosomal RNA". It matches the Rfam family "Bacterial small subunit ribosomal RNA", at positions 28 to 507 of the family's 1533-position model. The record is from RNAcentral.
GAUGAACGCUGGCGGCGUGCCUAAUACAUGCAAGUCGAGCGAACGGACGAGAAGCUUGCUUCUCUGAUGUUAGCGGCGGACGGGUGAGUAACACGUGGAUAACCUACCUAUAAGACUGGGAUAACUUCGGGAAACCGGAGCUAAUACCGGAUAAUAUUUUGAACCGCAUGGUUCAAAAGUGAAAGACGGUCUUGCUGUCACUUAUAGAUGGAUCCGCGCUGCAUUAGCUAGUUGGUAAGGUAACGGCUUACCAAGGCAACGAUGCAUAGCCGACCUGAGAGGGUGAUCGGCCACACUGGAACUGAGACACGGUCCAGACUCCUACGGGAGGCAGCAGUAGGGAACCUUCCGCAAUGGGCGAAAGCCUGACGGAGCAACGCCGCGUGAGUGAUGAAGGUCUUCGGAUCGUAAAACUCUAUUAUUAGGGAAGAACAUAUGUGUAAGUAACUGUGCACAUCUUGACGGUACCUAAUCAGAAAGCCACGGCUAACUACGUG